UGUCAAGGCGUAGAUACAUGCCAAGAGGUAGCAUUUUUUCUUCCUUACUUUUGUGUUAUUUACAAAGUCUCCUUGACUGCACGAUGAAGUUCACCACACGGUCUAAGGGUUAAAGGUCCCCCCUCUACACUCCCCUUAAGUGGCCCUGAUGGCAUUCGGUGAAUGGAUUCAAUUCGCUAUGGCCUUAGAGAAAUUCGAUCCUUUUUUUUUUUUUAUUAAAUUUCCCUUCUUUGCUAUCCAUUUUAUAUGUUCUAAACAUGACAUAAUAUAUGAACUAAAUCCAUUGAAGGAGCCCAGACAUCAUUACUUUGCAUCACAACUGUUUGUGCUUGAACAAGAAAUUUCCUGGACCGUCCUUGAUGAACCUUGCGAAUCACGGCCUUUACGUCUAAAAGUUGGGCAGCUUAUUUAUGUCUUCUUUGUCAAGAGAAUCUAGUGAUCCUCCUCCCCCAUCUGUCUUUGAUGCCUCCUCAAGCUGUUAUAAAUUUGGUAAAGAGAGGGUUCCCUAAAGGGUGGCGGAGAUCAAUGAAAACACACAUGAAAACAUCAACAGCAGAACUUUUACUUUUCGUGAGUGGGGCCGACAUUUCGCCCUUCCCUGUGUCUAGUAUAGAGGCCACACAGCCUUUAGACUUAUUUUUUCAAUAUUUUUAGUCUUCAGUAGUCUUUCAAAAAAUCAGAAUCCCACCGGAGAGAAAAAAAACGCAUUUUUCACCUGCUUCCAUACAAGUCCUACCAAGUCCCAUCUGAUUCCAGCCGAUUCAAUCUUUGUAAUGGGAUAGUUGGCAGUGGCUGUACCAAUAGUUGAUCUUUUACAGCUCUUGCUAGACAAAUAUUUCAGGCAACUGCAACUUUCCCUCUGUCCUACUAGUAUUCAGAUCUGCACGUCCAAAUUCAUAAUAGUUUCAGGAAUUUCAAUGAGUUGAUCUAGAUACAGGAGGGCGCUCUAUUCCGUGUUUGUCACAAAUUCAACUAACUUUUUUUCCCCCCCAACAAAGCAGGGUUUAAGAAAUCCAGCUGAUUUGAAUUGAAAUGCCGUCUGGAAUCUGGCCAACCCAAUUUAGCCACUCCCCUCCAAAAACUAGGGUUAGGGCAUAUUUAGACCACCAAUGCUGAACCGAUUCUGAUUCAGAACCGAUUAAACCCCGCCACAAAGUUCAAUUUCUGCUCCAUGUCUUGAACAUAUUAUAGGGCAGCCACUAGAAAUAACAGUUGUUAAGGUUCAAAAAGGGUGGGGGUGGGGUUACAAAUCAAGCGUAUUAUGUGCUCAAUAUCAGGAAACAAAUCAAGUGCAUUACCUAUUAAUGAGCAUAUCCUGUCAUAACC
Long non-coding RNA from Macadamia integrifolia, 1326 nucleotides. RefSeq lists it as uncharacterized. The record is from RefSeq and is a predicted model, not a curated record. NCBI's taxonomy places the organism in Eukaryota, Viridiplantae, Streptophyta, Magnoliopsida, Proteales, Proteaceae. The transcript is spliced from 2 exons.